AGUGAACGCUGGCGGCAGGCCUAACACAUGCCAGUCGAACGGCAGCACAGUGCGUGCUUGCUGUUACGGGUGGGGAGUGGCGGGUGGGUCAGGAGAAUAUCCGAAUCUACUUUUUCGUAGGGCCUAACGUAGGCGCACAUACGCCAGUAGCGCAGACGAUGUACGGGGGAGAGCAGGGGAUCUUCGGCGCUUGCGCGAGUGAAUGCGCGGAUGUCGAGUUAGUUGGUUGGCGGGGUAAAGGCCUACCAAGGCGACGAUCCGUAGCUGGUCUGAGAGGAUGAUCAGCCACACUGGAACUGAGACACGGUCCAGACUCCUACGGGAGGCAGCAGUGGGGAAUAUUGGACAAUGGGCGCAAGCCUGAUCCAGCCAUGCCGCGUGUGUGAAGAAGGCCUUCGGAUUGUAAAGCCCUUUUGUUGGGAAAGAAAAGCAGUAGGUUAAUACCCCGCUGUUCUGACGGUACCCAAAGAAUAAGCACCGGCUAACUUCGUG
RNAcentral lists this ribosomal RNA (492 nucleotides) under uncultured bacterium. RNAcentral's name for it is "partial 16S ribosomal RNA". It matches the Rfam family "Bacterial small subunit ribosomal RNA", at positions 29 to 507 of the family's 1533-position model. The record is from RNAcentral.